This 421-nucleotide ribosomal RNA is filed under the name uncultured Proteiniphilum sp. RNAcentral describes it as "bacterial SSU rRNA". It matches the Rfam family "Bacterial small subunit ribosomal RNA", at positions 356 to 774 of the family's 1533-position model. Lineage: Bacteria; Pseudomonadati; Bacteroidota; Bacteroidia; Bacteroidales; Dysgonomonadaceae. The record is from RNAcentral.
GAGGAAUAUUGGUCAAUGGCCGCAAGUCUGAACCAGCCAUGUCGCGUGAAGGAAGACGGCCCUACGGGUUGUAAACUUCUUUUAUACGGGAAUAAAGUGCCCCACGUGUGGGGUUUUGCAUGUACCGUAUGAAUAAGGAUCGGCUAACUCCGUGCCAGCAGCCGCGGUAAUACGGAGGAUCCGAGCGUUAUCCGGAUUUAUUGGGUUUAAAGGGUGCUCAGGCGGGGGGUUAAGUCGGCGGUGAAAUUUUGCAGCUCAACUGUAAAAGUGCCUUCGAAACUGGUUCCCUUGAGUGCGGAUGAGGUAGGCGGAAUUUGUGGUGUAGCGGUGAAAUGCAUAGAUAUCACGAGGAACUCCGAUUGCGCAGGCAGGUCACUGGGCCGCAACUGACGCUGAGGAGCGAAAGCAUGGGGAGCGAACA